This 159-nucleotide ribosomal RNA is filed under the name Triticum aestivum (bread wheat). RNAcentral's name for it is "partial small subunit ribosomal RNA". The record is from RNAcentral. Lineage: Eukaryota; Viridiplantae; Streptophyta; Magnoliopsida; Poales; Poaceae.
AUGAAGCCUUGGCUCGAGUUAGGCAUACCGGACUACAAGAAGUACUGGAGGAGGUUUCUCACUCGAGAUCAUCGAUUCAUGGAUGAGUGCAAUGUAAAGGAUGAUGUCUCGUUGUGUAAUUUGUUUGGUCUGAAGGGGCGCACUCAUUUGUUAUCCUGA